Molecule: ribosomal RNA, 492 nt
Filed under: uncultured bacterium
Lineage: Bacteria
Description: partial 16S ribosomal RNA
Rfam family: Bacterial small subunit ribosomal RNA
Source: RNAcentral
GAUGAACGCUAGCUACAGGCUUAACACAUGCAAGUCGAGGGGAAACGGCAUCGAAAGCUUGCUUUUGAUGGGCGUCGACCGGCGCACGGGUGAGUAACGCGUAUCCAACCUGCCCAUCACUUGGGAAUAACCUUGCGAAAGUAAGACUAAUGCCCAAUGACAUCCCACGAAGGCAUCCGAAUGGGAUUAAAGAUUUAUCGGUGAUGGAUGGGGUUGCGUCUGAUUAGCUUGUUGGCGGGGUGACGGCCCACCAAGGCAACGAUCAGUAGGGGUUCUGAGAGGAAGGUCCCCCACAUUGGAACUGAGACACGGUCCAAACUCCUACGGGAGGCAGCAGUGAGGAAUAUUGGUCAAUGGGCGAGAGCCUGAACCAGCCAAGUAGCGUGCAGGAUGACGGCCCUAUGGGUUGUAAACUGCUUUUAUAAGGGAAUAAAGUGGGUCACGUGUGACUUUUUGCAUGUACCUUAUGAAUAAGGACCGGCUAAUUCCGUG